Non-coding RNA from Fusarium sp. DS 682, 83 nucleotides. The record is from the annotation of a GenBank genome assembly. NCBI's taxonomy places the organism in Eukaryota, Fungi, Ascomycota, Sordariomycetes, Hypocreales, Nectriaceae.
UCCGGUGUGGUGUAUCGGUUAUCAUUCCGCGUUUUCAUCACUGAAAAUCCGCGGCGAGGAGGGUUCGACUCCCUCCAUCGGAG